This 841-nucleotide long non-coding RNA is filed under the name Prunus persica (peach). Its description in RNAcentral is "long non-coding RNA (PPER_LNC007878)". Lineage: Eukaryota; Viridiplantae; Streptophyta; Magnoliopsida; Rosales; Rosaceae. The record is from RNAcentral.
UCACAAUCAUUAUUGUUAUCUCAAAUUGAUCUUAGUAUUACUAUUAAAACAAGAAGGAAAAAUGCGUAAGGGCACAAAUAUAAGUAAUCCUUUUUAGAUGUCUGUUUAGGGGUGGUAGAAAUCCACCUAACUCAGGCAAUUCCCUAAAGCACGUGAAUUGGCCAGGCAUGAGAAGAAUAGCGGCCGGGGUUCAUUGGGGGAGCCGAGCUUGCAAAACGGCUGGGCAUGGCUGGAGAAAUAUGGGCCUUGCGAGACGUAGCCGGGCAGAACAAGUGUGGAAGAGAUUACGAUAGCCUUAAUUCUCUUUCAGAAAGAGGCUCUGGAUUCGCUACAAGUACCACCAAGUGAAAGUUAGGUCCCACGUGGCGUAGGUUAUCCGGCGUUGGGACAGGCCCCAUACGUGGCGUUGGUUGUACCGGCGUAUGGGGAGAUUUGUAAUAUGAUGUUCAGGUCUCACGUGGCGUAGGUUAUCCGGCGUUGAGACAGGCCCCAUACGUGGCGUUGGUUGUACCGGCGUAUGAGGAGAUUAUGUGAUAUUGUGUUGAGGUCGCACGUGGCGUAGGUUAUCCGGCGUGUCGACAGACCCCAUACGUGGCGUUGGUUGUACCGGCGUAUGAGGAGAUUUGUGAUAUGAUGUUGAGGUCCCGCGUGGCGUAGGUUAUCCGGCGUUGGGACAGGCCCCAUACGUGGCGUUGGUUGUACCGGCGUAUGGAGAGAUAUGUGAUAUGAUGUGCAGAUCUCGCGUGGCGUAGGUUAUCCGACUUUGAGACAGACCCCAUACGUGGCGUUGGUUGUACCGGCGUAUGGGGAGAUUAUAUGAAAUACAGAGAAAUGAAAUAAG